AGAAAGAGGGAGGAGGGAUUUGGUUGGCUUGAUAGUUGAUACACACGUCUGAACUCUGAGGAAGGGAGUGAUCUUUCAUCCCUUCUCUUUUUUGGUUUUGGUCUUGGUUUUCCUUCCCUCACAUUGCUCCGGUUCCAGCUGGGCCAUCAGGAAGAAAGAUCGGGGGAUUGGAGAUGGACUUCUUGGAGGGUUUUGAGAGUUAGAAGAUGCAAGGAUGUUCUUCUACAGUUUUCUAUUAUGGAAGUGGCUUCAAGAAUUAUGAUUACAUUUACUUUUGAAUGCACAAAGAUGCAUGUUUGUUAUAAUGUUAAUGGGACAAUGUAAUUUGUAUUUUGUCUAAAUAUGUAAUUGUCUAAGUUUGUAGUUUUUA
Molecule: non-coding RNA, 370 nt
Organism: Phoenix dactylifera (date palm)
Lineage: Eukaryota; Viridiplantae; Streptophyta; Magnoliopsida; Arecales; Arecaceae
Source: RefSeq, a predicted model, not a curated record